Long non-coding RNA from Beta vulgaris subsp. vulgaris (sugar beet), 1700 nucleotides. RefSeq lists it as uncharacterized. The record is from RefSeq and is a predicted model, not a curated record. Lineage: Eukaryota; Viridiplantae; Streptophyta; Magnoliopsida; Caryophyllales; Amaranthaceae. The transcript has 2 exons.
UACAAAGAUCUUUACUAAUGUUACUUUCGUUACUCUCUUGCCUGACAUAUUAUUUACAUUACCCAUGAGGGUCUUUCUGCUUUUAUACGAUUUUUGGUUAAGUACACGAGAGCGAACACAAUUACAAGCUACAUGACUCAGACUCUUCAUUUUAGGUCAAAACACCUAGUAUGAGAUUCUCGGUCUCGGGUAUCGCCCAAUGUUUUAAAAAAAGCUUAAGUUGCACUACACGUUUCGAUGCGCUUGAUUGAAGUAAGGUGCGACUUAGGAAAGUUAGGAGUAUGAUGUAAAAAGAAUUGUGCGCCUUAGGUGCGCCUAGGCUGAUUAUGGAGUAGAUAGAUUGUAUUUUGGAGCAAAAUCUACUCUUACCCGCUUGACUUUGAUGUGAGAUAAAAAUCUUCUUGACUUCAGAGCUUUUUCGGUCUAUUUUUUGUUGUAGGUUAAAGAGUGUCUCAACUCUUGAGAGUUGAGAGUGUUCGUUUGACAUGACGUUUGGUGUGGUGAAUGAAUCUUGAAAGUUCUACUUUUAGCUUUUUAUAGUGUGGCAUGACUGGCAUCACUCAAUGAUGCUAUGGUGGAUGAGGAGUGACGCAGUGUGAUGGAUGAUUUCCUAAUAUAUGAGGACUUAUCCUUCUGCACUAGGUAGCACAUAGAUGAAUACGGGUACGGAUGCGGAUUCGGGUACGGGGACAGAAAACGGCAAGAUUUUGAAAUUUUAGGAAAGGGUAUGCGUACCCAUACUGGUUACGUUUUGUAUCAGGUACGGGUACGAGUACGUGACCUAGAAGAAGUACCCAUGCUACAUAGCCUGGGAAAUGGAAGCAAUGUGUACUACUGCUAAAUUCACUAUCUAACAUAGUUUUGAACCUGUUGGAUGAGAAUCUAUGCUUUGCCUCCACAGAGUACAGUAGAGGGUGUGUUUGCUGUGCAAAAGGUCUGCAAUAUGCUCCAAGGAGAUAAAAAGGGUAAAAGUCCUAGUUUUCUACAGAGAUACACUGAAACAGGAGAAUGUCAGCCUUGCAAGCAGAUAUAUUAUGUGCAGACUUGAUAAAGAGUCAGCCUAUAACCUAAUUCUGCUUUGCCCUUUGGUAAUUUCUUUGUGGCAGUUGAGUUUUUGUUGGAUUGUUCUCGUAGCUUGAAAGAGGAAGUUGAAUAUUAUUAGAUUGCAGAUUUGCGGAAGCUUGGCCGGUUGGCUAUAUGGUGGUAUACUUGGAAGGUCAAGAAUGGGCAAAUCUUGUAUGGGAGCACCUUAUCACCGCAAGCGUCUAAGUUAUAUAGUUUGAGGACUUGUGGAGUCAAAGCUCAUGAACUUAAAUUGUUUUUCCUUGAUUUUGCAAAUAACAGUCAUGCAUGGUUCUCAUGAUUGAGGACUUCUUUUUUUACCUUUUUUUUUUUGGUAUGGGAUACUUGUAAGUUUCUCAGGGCCCAGGGGUAUGACACUUUUGGUUCUAUCUUUUUUUUUUUUGUUGAUAUGUGGACGAGUGAGCAACAGAUUGUUUAGUUGUACUGUUUAGUUUACUUGGUGGACAACCCCCGGCACCCCAAUUCUGAAAAAUUGACAAGUUUCCAAAAGUUUUGAAAUCGUGAGGAUUUUAGAGUCAGCUGGCUGAUAGUCUGAUACAAGUGAAUGUCAAAAGGAUGGUGAUCACUGAAAGAUAAUUGUACCAGUCCUCUGAAAUCUAUGAAUGCAAUUUUUGUCC